Molecule: long non-coding RNA, 23159 nt
Filed under: Nicotiana benthamiana
Lineage: Eukaryota; Viridiplantae; Streptophyta; Magnoliopsida; Solanales; Solanaceae
Description: long non-coding RNA (NBEN_LNC032210)
Source: RNAcentral
UCUUACAAGGUUAGAAAGGAGACUCGCCUUGCUCUAAAGAUCAAUAACCAGCAUUCCAUGCCAUUCCUAUGACUCAAAUUGAUGCAAGAUGCUCCGAAACUAGCCCAUUAUUAUGAAAAACCAUUAGUAUAGGCUCAAUUACUUAAUACAAUCCAAUGUAUAGCAAUUCCAAACCCCGAUAAAAAAGGUGACAAAAAUGCCCUCGGGCCCACGUGCUCGGAUUCCAAAAAUUUUCGAAGUUACCCAUAGCUUCACGAACUCAAAUAAAAUACUUUAUCUAUAUUCCAUACCCAAAAUUGUGGCCAAAUUCCAAGAAUAUAAAUUUCUGGGUCUUUCCUCAAACCCCCAUGUUUUCUAAAAAUUUCCAUGUCUCCAUCCAUAUAUAAACUUUGUAUUUAACUUAAAACUAGAAUAAAUUACUUACCUCCUGAUAAAUGAUGGAACCCUCUCUUUACAAGCUCCAACAAUCACCCAAGCAAAGAGAAAAAUGGGUGAAAUGAACUUAAACCCGAAUUUUAAAUAUUCUGCCUAGCCCAUGUCCGCCCUUCUUCGUGUUUGCGGCCCAUCUCUCACGUUAACGAAGGCCACUUAUCCAGCCCAUUUGCAUUCACAUACAAAGCCUCGCGUUCUCGUAGGCCAAAGAUCCCAAUCCCACCUUUUCCUUCUACACGUUCGCGAUCUCCUCCCUGUGUUCCCCUAGCAGCUCAGCCCACCCCUUCCCACUCACAACUUCUUAUUCGCGUUCGAGAAGGCCAAAUCCAGCAGCCUCCCACUUUCCUCUUUGCGUUCGCGAGACUCCCUUCACAUUCGCGAAGAAGGAAACCAGAUACUAGCAACCAACAACAACCUUUUACCCAGAUUUGAUCUGUUAAAAACCCGGAAUCCACCUAAGACCCUCGGGACCCCAACCAAUCAUACCAACCAGUCCCAAAACAUGUUACAGAUUUUCUCGAAGCCUCAAAUCAUAAUAAGCGAUGCCAAAACCAUGAAUCGACCUCCAAUCCAAGCUUUAUGAACAUUAGAACUUCAAACUUAUACUCUCGAUGUUUAAGCCUAUCAAAUCAAGUCCGAUUGACCUCAAAAUUUGCACAUAAGUCAUAUUCGACAUGGACCUAAUCCAACUUUCGGAAUCAGCUUUCGACCUCGAUAUCAAAAAGUCCACUUCCAGUCAAACUUCUCAAAGCCUUCAAAUUUUCAUCUUUAGCCAAAUGGCUCCAAAAUGACCUACACAUCUCUCAAUUAACUUCUGAUCGCGCUCCCGACUCCAGGAUCAUCACACGAAGCUAUUCAUAGGCUCGAAAUCUCAAAACGACAUCAAUAACACAGAAAUGCAUUUCAAGCCAAACUUAUAAAAUUCCUUCCAAAAUGCUAUCUUCCACAAUAAGCGCCAAAACGCUCCCGGGCUAUUCAAGACCCGAUCCAGGCAUACACCUAAGUCCGAAAUCAUCAUACGAAUUUGCUGAAACCUUCAGAUCCAGAUUCUAAGGUCGCUUACUUAAUAUCCAAUCUUAGUUAGUUCUUUCAACUUAAAGCUUUCGAAAUGAGAAUUCUCUUCCCAAAUCAACUCUGAACUUCCCGAAAUUCAAUUUCAACCAUGGGUACAAGUCAUAAUACCUUAAAUGAAGAGGAUCAUGGCCUCAGAAUGCGAAGCAACACGCUAGAGCUCAAAAAGACUAGUCGGGUCAUUACAUUGCCCUAUACUGACAUUCACACUGUACCUGCAGAAAUCCAUCGCAGGUGUGGCUCUAAAUCAACCCAGGAGCUUCCGCUUCUACGAUCUCCCUUCCGUAUCUGCGCCUUUGAUAACUAUGGAUUUUGACAUGUUUCAUGCUCCUUCUUGCAUGCUUUGAUUAUAAAUUCUUACAAAAUAGUCCCGAAAGGCUCAUAAGUUGUGCUUGAUUGCAGGUUUGAUCGACAAAGUGACAAAAUGACUAAGAUCGGCUCAAAAGGAGUGAAACUUGAUCAAGUACCCAAGACAAGGCAAAACUCAGGAGAACAGGCCUAGUGUGGCCGCACUACUCUUUGUGCGGUCCGCAUUAGAGAGAUUCAGAGAGUUAGAAUCUAAGGCUUCAAGAAACGGGGCCGCAUACCAUUCUGCACGGUCCAUGGUGAAGGCUUCACCGUCGCACUACCAUAUUGUACGGUCCACAGAAGAGAAGUUCAGAGAGAGGACAUAUGCCCAGGUUCAAUUCAUCGUGGUCCAUGGUCAUUAUUGUGCGGACCGCAUUAGAGACCUUCAUGGCCGCGGUCCAUUUUGCACGGUCUGCGUAGCCUGAGUUCAGAAAGCCAAGAUUGUAAGUCCAAGAGCCUAGUGCAGCUGUAGUACAUUUUGUGCGGCCCGCACUAACACCAUAGGGGAAUUUUUGUCUAGCGUUUCCAGCUUAGUAUAAGUAGAACAUUUUGCCAGUUUAGGGUAUUAGAUAUUAUAGAACUAUAGAUAUUAUAGAACUAUAGCAGCAGUCUUGAGAUGUUAUUUUGUAGCCAUUUUGGGCAUCUUAGCUUUACUUUAAUAUAGAUUCUCAGUAUUUUCUUUAUUUUAAAUUAAUAUGUCUUUUACUUCAUCUAUUUCUCCAUUUUCUUCUUCAGGCAUGAGUAGCUAAACCCAUUAGCUAGGGUUGUGGCUCAAUCCUAGUAUGGGUAAUUGAUGGCUGUUGCAAUUUUAGGGUAGAUUUACCAUGGGUUUUUGUUAUUUGGGUCAAUUUUAUGGUUUAAUUUAUGAAUUAGUGGUUGCAAAUACUGGUUUGUGCUAAGUUGACUUAGCUCUUCCUGAGAAAGAGAGCAUAAGUCUCCAAAACUAACCCAACAAGGAAUUGGGAUGGACUUAAGAGAAUUGAUAGUUCCAAUUAAAGGUUAAAUCUUGAGAGAGUAAUUACCCGACUUGAACCCUAGUUCAUUGAGAAAAUUUGCCUACCUAUUUGGUCCUGAAAAAGUCAAUUGGAAAAAAUCAUUCUUUCUACUGAGAGGUGUCAGAGUGGGUAAAAUCGUGCAACAGUUAUAGCAAAUUUCCCCAAUCAUGUCAAAUGUGCCUUAGAAGCAAUUACCCGUCAAUUAGCCACCUAGGUGAAAGUCACUACCCUAGUGCCUUUUAACUAUUAGAUAUAAUUCUUUGCAAUUUUCACUUAGCAUAAUUAGUUAUAAUUAGUUUUUGAUAAUCUUAGAUUGUUAAAUAAAACCUAAUAGAUGAUGAGAACAUCAAUUAAGAACACACUUAUAAUUCUUAGCUAGAUAGAUACCUAACUCCAAUUCUAGCUCUCUAUGAAUUCGAUCCCGACCCCAAAUUGGGCAAAAGAUAUUGCGACCCUCUCUUGCUACUCUUUAGUAGUGCGGAGUUGGACCGCGAUCAACUUUCUGGUGCCGUUACCGGGAAACUAACGAUUUUAGCUAUCUAUUUAGUUAGUUUUGUGUGUUUCUUCUUUCCUUCUUUGUUACUUAUUUGUUUGUGUCAAUUAUUCAGGUACCAAAUAGCUUUAAAUGCUAAUGACCAUCUUGGAAACGUGAUAGCGAGGGAGGAGGUAGAUGAUCUUGAGCACGAUGAGGUACCUCUAGCACCUCAAGGACAACGGAGAGGCCAGAAUCCAAUGCAAAUGCUAUUACAAAUGAUAAUAUUCUAGACCAUCCUCUGCCACCUCCAAGAGCGGCUCCCAGAGUAUUGUCGAAUCAAGGGUAUGUGAGUGCUAUUGUCCCUCCCUGAAUUCGGGCGGGGAAUUUUCAAAUAACCAAUGUGAUGUUGACUUUACUUAAGCAGUAUGAGUACUUCACGGGCACUGCAAAUCAAAAUUCCUACAAAUAUCUAAAGGGAUUUGUAGAUACAUACUGGAGAGAAAGCAGACGAAUGUGUCCGGGGAUGUGUUGAUAUCGAGACUUUUCCCAUUCUCACUUUGGGUAAGGGCAUUAGAUUGGCUUGAGAGACUCCCCAACCAUUCCAUCACAACUUGGGAUGAGUUGGCGGAUAAAUGUUUUUGCAAGUUCUUCUCACCGAGUCAUAUGGUGGCACUUCGGGAUGAAAAUUUAGCCUUCAAACAAGGGCCAACAGAACCACUCCAUGAAAUUUGGUAACGGUAAAGGACCAUGGUGAAAGAGUGCCCGAAUAACGAUAUGACCGAGGUGAUGAUUCAACAAAGGUUUUAUCAGGGCAUCACCACCACAAAUCAGUGCAUUGUGAACCAAUUGGCCGGGGUUAAUUUUAUGAAACUUUCUUAUGAUGAGGCAUAUAAUGUACUUGAUGAAAUGGCCGACACUUCUUCAGUAUGGCAAAGUAGAGAAAAUGUGUCCCUAAGUGACCCUACGGUCAUCCAUUUGCACAAGAAAUUGCAUGAUCAUUGUCAAGCUAUUUCCGAGUGCACUACUACUAUGAACCAAUUGGCAAAGGCACAGUUGCAACAAGUCCAAAAUCCGCGCCAAGUCAACACCACAGAAGGUGUCAAUAUGCUUAAGAGAAGACAAAGAGGACAACAAUCUCAAGGGAAUUUUGAAUAAUAUGACAAUGAUGGAGGUGGUUUUUCAAAUGAGUGUUAUGAUGACCAAAGCGAGGAGGUUCAGUUUGUUGACAACUAUCAAGGCAAUAGAGGCAAAUCUUCAAACUAACAAUGGCGACCCUAAGGAAAUUGGGGCAAGCAAAAACAAGGUGGUGACAACUGGAACAACAACAAUGAACAGUAAGGAGAUGGCAAUUGGAACAAUAACAAUCAACAACAAGGAAGUUGCAAUUGGAACAAUAACAGCCAAAACAAUAAUUGGGGGAACCAAAAUAACAACCAAGGCAAUUGGAAUGGAAAUUACAAUAAUUGGAGCAACAACAACAAUCAAGGCAGGUGGAACAACAAUGGGAACCAAGGCAACUGGGGGCAAGGCUUUCAAAGGCCCCCAAUGUACCUGUGAGCACGUGAUUUUUUCCCUACACAAAUUACUCCUAUAAAUUCAAACAAAAUAAUUUUUGUUAUUUGUUUGCAAUUUUGUGGAUUUUGUGGCAUUUUUUGUUAAUUUUUUACAUUUUGUUUACGCAUUUUAAUUAGUGAAAAAUACAAAAAUAUGUUGCUUGUGCAUUUAGGAGUUAAUUUCAUUUUAAGAAUUAUUCAGUAAUUUAGUCAUUUUAUAAAAAAUAAAAAAUUGAAAAAAUAUAACCGAGCAAUCCACCCCAUUUCCCUUCUCAAGGUCCUAGUUGUUCUGGAGGUUAUCUGGGAAGAAUUUAAAGUAUGUUCAAGCAAACGUUGAAAAAGAACCAAGAUUCUGAUGUUCAAUUGGCUUUACACGUUACCUUCAUCUGGAACUUGGAGGUACAAUUAGGCCAAAUCUCUCAAUCUUUGAACACUCUCCCCAAGGGUGCCCUACCAAGUGACAUGGUAGUGAACCCGAAAGGCUGGAAUAAUAGUCAUAUGAUGGCGGUUACAACAAGAAGAGGGAGAGGCGGUGAUCUGAAUGCCUCAAGAGAAAAGCAAGUUGUAGAUGAUGAUAUUGAGUUUCGGGAUGAUGAGGGACCUUUGAUUGUGGAUGAUGUGGUUGAAUAAAACAUGAAUAACGAUGUAAGGAUUGACAUAGAUGAAGCCAAGGUAGAAACUUAAGAUGCGGUGAACCUGUCUAAGGAACACGUGAUUGACGUGCCCAAGCCGGUUGUGCCAAAAGUCAAGGCACCCUUGCCUAGGCAACCUCCACCUUUAAAGGCUCGCAAAGCAAAGAAAUGAUAAUCAAUUUAAGAAGUUCAUUGAUAUGAUGAAGAGUUUGUCCAUAAAUAUGCCUUUGGUGGAGGCCCUUGAACAAAUCCGGGAAAUGUAAAAUUCAUGAAAGAUUUGGUUACAAUGAAAAGGUCUAUGGAUUGUGAAACAAUAAAGAUGACUCACCAAGUGAGUGCCAUAGUGCAUUCAAUCACACUUAAGCUUGAAGACACCGAAGCCUUUACUAUUCCUUGUACUAUUGGAAGUGAAAACUUUGCUAGAGCUUUAUGAGACUUGGGAGCUAGUAUCAAUUUGAUACCGUACUCGAUUAAAAAGACUUUGGGUAUUGGGAAACCUAGACCAACUUCAAUGAGGCUUCAAAUGGCGAAUCGAUCGAUGAAGAGACCCUUGGAAAUUAUUGAUGAUGUGCUUGUCCGGGUGGACAAAUUCAUAUUUCUAGCUGACUUAGUCAUUUUGGAUUAGACGAUAAGGUUCCGAUUAUCUUAGUUAGACCUUUCCUUGAAAGGGGGAAGAAGUUGGUUGAUGUUGAAGCAGGUGAGCUCACUUUCUGAGUGGUUGAUGAAAAGGUCGCCUUCCAUGUUUGCAAAUCCAUGAAGUAAUCCAAUAGCACCGAGAUAUGCUCAUUUGUAGACCUUGUCACAACUGUGAUAGUGGAUGAUAACAGUGCUAUGAUCAACAUGGAGGAUCCUCUUGAGGCCAUGCUGUUAAAUAUGGAUGUCAAUGAUGAUGCAAGCAGAGUGGAGUGCGUGAAUUCCUUACAUGUGAUGGGCUCUUAUUCUUAUAAGCUAAGAAAAUUGUCUUUGGAUCUUGAAAACCGGAAAAAUCCACCAACAAAGCCAUCAAUUUAGGAGCCACCGUUGUUGGAGUUAAAACCACUUCCUCCACACCUCACGUAUGAAUUCUUUGACUAAAAUUCUACUUUAUCAGUUAUUAUUUCUUCUUGCCUUACUAACAUGCAGGUUGAGGCCACUUUGGCAGUGCUUCAAAAGCAGAAAAGGGAAAUUGGAUAGAUGCUAGCUGCGGGGAAUAAGCCCCGCAUUUUGCAUGCACAAAAUUAUCUUGGAGGAUUACGCAAAGCCUUCCUUGGAGAAUCAAAGAAGAUUCGAGGCUAUGCAAGCGCUGGUAAAGAAAGAUGUGAUCAAAUUGUUAGAUGCCGGGGUUGUGUACCCAAUUUCUGAUAGCUCGUGUACUUCUCCGGUGCAAUGUGUGCCGAAGAAGGGUGGUAUGACUGUGGUGCCCAAUGAAAGCAAUGAACUUGUUCCUACUCGGAUGGUCACCGGAUGGAGAGUAUGUAUGGAUUACCGGAAACUAAACAAGGUGACCUGAAAGGACCAUUUCCCAUUGCCAUUACUUGACCAAAUGUUAGAUCGUCUUGCGGGGCGUGCUUUUUAUUGCUUUCUGGAUGGUUACUUUGGGUACAACCAAAUUUUAAUUGCCCCGGAUGAUCAAGUGAAUACAACUUUUACCUGUCCGUGUGGCACAUUCGAUAUCUCUCGGAUGUCGUUCGGAUUGUGUAAUGCUCCGGCGACCUUCCAACGAUGCAUGAUGGCUAUUUUCACCAACAUGGUGGAAGAUAUCUUGGAGGUCUUCAUGGAUGAUUUUUACUGUGGUUGGGGAUUCCUUGGACGGGUGUUUGGGUAACUUGGAUAAAGUGUUAGCCCGGUGUGAAAAUAGAAACCUUGUACUCAAUUGGGAAAAAUGCCAUUUCAGGGUUGAAGAUGGUAUAGUAUUGGGUCAUAAAAUUUAAAAGAGAGCAAUUGAAGUGGAUAAAGCCAAAAUAGAGGUGAUAUCCAGGCUUCCUCCUCCUAUUUCUCUAAAAUGGGUUAGGAGUUUUUUAAGGCACACGGGUUUUUACCGGAGCUUUAUAAAAGAUUUUCCAAAGUGGUACACUGUUUGUGCAAGUUGCUAGAGAAAGAUGCUAAGUUUGUGUUUGAUUAGAAAUGCAUGGAGUCCUUUGAACGUCUCAAGUACAAGUUUACCACCACUCCUAUUAUUACUGCAUCUAAUUGCAGCUUUCCCUUUGAGCUCAUGUGUGAUGUUAGCGAUAUGGCGGUUGGAUGAGUGUUAGGUCAACGUGUGAGAAAGAUGUUUCGUCCGGUGUAAUACACAAGCAUGACCAUGAAUAAGGCUCAGAAGAACUAUACGGACAUCGAGAAAGAGUUGUUAGCUACAGUGUUUGCUAUGGAAAAGUUUCGACCAUAUCUCAUGGGGGCGAAAGUUAUAAAGCACACUGAUCAUGCCGCCCUUAGGUAUUUGAUGAUAAAAAAAAAGUCAAAGGCAAGGUUGAUGAUAUGUGUGUUACUACUUCAAGAGUUUGAUGUAUAAAUUAUGGACCGGAAAGGUAGUGAGAAUCAAGUGGCGGGCCACUUAUCCCGUUUGGAGGAUGAGGGGAGGCCUUGUUAUGUCCUUGAGACCAAUUAUCUAUUUCCCGAUGAGCAACUCUUUGUGGUGUCAAUGAAUGAUAUUCCAUGGUUUACGAAUGUUGCUAAUUAUCUUGUGACUGAAAUAAUCUUGUAUGAUAUCUCUUCUAACUAAAGGAAGAAGCUCAAGCGGAUAGCUUGGAUUUUUAUUGGGACGAGCCAUAUUUGUUCAAGAUUUGCAUGGAUGAUGUGAUUCGUAAUGUGUCUCGGAGGAAGAACAAUCGGGUAUAUUGGAGGCUUGUCAUUCCUCUCCUUAUUAUGGCCAUCAUGUUGGGGCGAGGGCGGCUUCUAAUGUGCUUAGUUGUGGAUUCUAUUGGCCAACCUUGUUCAAAGAUGCGGGUGAUUUUGCGAAGAGAUGUGAUGAAUGCCAAAAAGUGGCGGAAUUUCCAAGAAAGGUGAGAUGCCUCUAAACACAAUUCUUGAAGUUGAUAUCUUUAAUGUAUGGGGUAUCGAUUUUAUGGUCCCUUUUGUUAGCUCAUGCAGUAACAGCUACAUUUUUGUAGCGGUUAAUUAUGUGUCAAAAAAGGUUGAGGUCGUGGCCUUGCCCAACAAUGAAGCUAGGGGUGUGGUGGCAUUUCUAAAUAAGAGAAUUUUCACAAGGUUUGGCACUCCUCAUGCUAUUAAUAGUGAUGGUGGGUCUCAUUUUUGCAACAAAGCUUUCGACACAAUGAUUUCUAUGUACUAUGUCAAUCACAAGGUUUCAAUCCCCUAUCAUCCCCAAGAAAGUGGCUAGGAGGAAGCCUACAAUAUGGAAAUCAAGAGUAUCUUGUCAAAGAAGGUCAAAGCUAAUAGGACUGAUUGGUCGAAAAAAUUGUAUGACGCUCUAUGGGCUUACCAGACCGCUUACAAGACCCCAGUUGGUAUGUCAUCGUACCGGUUGUGUUUUGGAAAUAAUGUCAUCUACUGUGGAGUUGGAGCAUAAGGCCAUGUGGGCCUUGAGGAAACUUAUUCUUGAGUGGAAUGUUGCAACCAAUCUUCGUGUUGAACAACUUAAUGAACUUGACGAAUUUCAGCUCCAUGCAUACUUUAGUUCAUCCUUGUAUAAGAACAAGAUGAAGUACCUUCAUGAUAAAUAUGCUCGUGGAAAGGAUUUAAAAGUUGGUGAUAGCAAAGUGGAGUGGGACAUUUGUGUGUUCGUGCUCCCUUUUGGUGCUAUUGAUCUCAAGAACAAAAAUGGUAAAGUUUUCAGAGUAAACGGGCCCCAGGUAAAGCAUUACCCAGGAAAGAUCGAUGAUAGCAACGUGGUGGCGCUUAUUCAUCUCAAGUGAUAUGGUAACAUGCGCCGUGCCGCAACAUUAAAUCAGGUGCUUCUUGGGAGGCAACCCAAGUCUUUUUCUUCUUGUUUUCUUUCAUUUUCUUCAUAGUUUAGGUUUUAUUUUUGGGCUAAUUGGUUGUGAGAUGUUGCAGGAAAUGACUUUAUGUAGUGGAAAACAUAGUAGAGAAAUUGUUCAGCCUUUGAAGUUGCCAGUGCAGCCGCAUUGCACUCUGUGCGGUCCGCACUAGUGUGAGCCAAUAUGAGAGAGCUCUCUGAAGUUUUCCACCGUGGCCGCAUUAUAUUUUGUGCGGACCACGGUUGACCUCCGCGGCUACGAUCUAUUUUGUGUGGACCACAGAGGUUUCCUUCUCAAGCUUCUUCUAAAAAAAUUCAGUGCGGGCCGCAUUUCAUUUUAUGCGGCCGCACUAGUAGGUAAGAGCAAGUCCUAGAGGUUUUUCUACAAAUAGACCACAAGGGGUUCCUGUUACCCUUUUCAAAAAAUUUACUCUCAAAGACCAAAAAAAUCAUUGUUCAUCUUCUUCUUUGACUGUGAUUCUUGCUCAGAGUGACUACAUGCAUUUCAUAUCCACACCUGGUAACAUUUCAAUCAUUUCUUUUUGCUUAAUUUUGUAAUUUCACUUCUGUUUCAUUCCCAUUAGCCCAUAGCUUCUUCUUUAUUCAUGUAUAUCUUCAAAUUAUAGGUUACUCUAGUUUAAUUGUUAAAUUUUGUGUGUUUGGUGAGCAUAGUUAACUGGGUAAACUGAGUAGGGACCCUAACUAGGUUUGAAUUGAACUAAAAUGCAAGAGCCAAGAACCCUAACUCGGUGCCUUGACUAAGCACCCUCCGAUGACCGUGGUCGUUUCUAUGCAGUCAGCAGUGCUCUGAUGCGGUCUGCGGUACCAUUUGUGCUGUUCGUGCUAGCCCACCGCGGCCGCAGUGAUAUUUUGUGCGUGCUGAAGUGGUUAGAUUCAGAUAGUGGUUUUCUAGACCUUUCCCCAGUGCGGACCGCGGUUGCUUUUAUGCGGUCUGUGGUGGCAUUAUUGCGGUUGCACUCCUUUUUGUGAGAUCCUCACUACACUGUGUCUGCAAUUCUUUUUUGGCUUCUGUUCUGCAAUGCAUUAUACACAUCUAUUUCACUUUCUCUAUUGAUAUUGACAAAGUUAGAUGUUUGUGCCUGCGGAUAAUAGUUAAACAAUGAGGGAAAAAAGGAUCAAAACAGCCCAGGAGAGGUGUAUCCUCCCGGGGUAGAAAGCAAAAGAUGAUCAAGCUCAGUCCCCAAGUUUGGGAGAGCAUAAAAAGAACAAGGAAGUUGAUAAAAGCUGCUGACAAGGGGACUGACAAAUUGAGGAGUGAGUUCGAGCCGUCUGAGGAAGUUUCAUCGAUUCUAUUCCUGCACAGAUUCGUGAUUGGACCGGAUGAAUGAGAUAGACCGAUGAUACUCCACCUCCAUCAUCCCCUGCCCAAGUAGUAGAUCAUGUCCCCACUGAGUCCUUUGAGGGCUCAGCAGCCGGCAGCGGUGAGUACUCCACCUCCCCCACAGCUUCAUUGUCUAGGGAGAGUGCAGACGGAGGUGAAGACGAGGUACAAGAGGGUGGUGAGCCUCAGUUUGGGGGUAUUUCUCGGACUAGAGAUCCUGCAGUUUGGGAGGAUAGGUUUGUCAACCAGGUAAUGAUCCACAAGUUUAGGGAAUGGUGGCUGGUAAGAAAGUUGAUUCUUGAGAGGAGCUUCAUUCAUAGAGACCUUCUACCCUUAAUCCCUUAUGUGCAUAGUCAGUUCCGAACUCGAGUGGGGUGGGAGACCUUCUUGUAUGAUUGUUUCAAUACCAAUGAACACAUGGUCAAGGAGAUUUAUAGCAAUGUAUCCCCCAUCUUGAAGGGCACCAAAGUUACCAAAGUUCGAAACAGAAAAGUGGUGUUUAGCGGGAAGGCAUUCAAUGAAUACUUGGGUUUCAAUAAAGAAGAUGAGUGCCUUUACAAUGAAUGUUAGCUAUGGGCGAGGAGGUUUGUCCUUGUUCAGCUUCAUACCUAGCAAUCCCGGGUACUGUUCCAGAUUGGUUAGCAGUUGGGGCAAAAAUACUUCGGAGGACCCUUAACAUUGAGGCAAAGGGUUGGUUGACUUUUGUGUGCAGCUGGCUUGAUCCCACUACCCAUGAUUCGACUCUUCCGCUUGAUCGGGUUGUUCUAGUUAUAUUAAUUAUGGCAGGAUAUCCCAUCAACGUGGGGAAUGUAAUGUCCCGCAUCAUUUUUUCAGUAGGGGUCGAGCAUUACUGAAACUACCCUUUUCCCAACACCCUUACUAUGUAUUUAUGGGACUUUGAGGUGGAGAAGAGAUCUUUUGACAUCAUGUUCAACCUUUGGCUUCAUUAUAUGGUAUAGUUUGAAGGGGCCAGACAACCCGAAGGACAAGAACUACAAGAUGCCUACUUCUAUCCCAAGUGGCCAGUCUGAAGAGCCGGUUGCGGUAGAGCCCUCCACUGAGCCUGACUCGGCUGUUGUUGAGUUGCCUCCUAGACUUUCCACUACAGCUGACUUGCCUUUUGGUCCUUCUACUUCAGCUGGCCUAGGUAUUCCAUCUUCCCGGGAACAUUCUAUCACUACCCACCAGCUGAGCCAGACACUUCAUAGCUUGAACAACUGGAUGGCGAUUACUUUAUCCAAGGUGUCCUCCUUGACUUCUACCAUUACAGCUCAGUCAGCACCACAGCCAACAUAGAUUCCAUAGUCUAUAGAGGAUGCACUUAAGGAAAUAUUUUCCAACGAGAAGAAGAUCCUCAGUACUCUGAGUGCCUUGGGUACGACAGUAGAUUUACAUGGCAACUCUCUAAAGGAUCUUGCAAAGGAGCACAAGAAGCUACGCAAGACGCGGGUCUCCAAGGAGUCCGUAAAGGAGUUGAGAGUAGAUGUGGAUAAACUGAUGGUAGAACAACUGCCUUUAGACUUGCUAUUUGAGGACCCAACUCUAGCAGCAGUGCCAGCAGUAGAGUCACAACAGGAGCAGUCACAAAGGCCUCCAAAUAGGAAGAGGAUGAUGCCGAGCACAGAUGAUGCCAUCAUCCAGUUGGCGGACCCCUUGGAGGCUUCUUCCAGCCAGCCAUAGGAUGUACUUGAGUCAUAGCCUAUCCAAGUCCAAGCCUCACUCCCAGCAGCUGUAUAGCAGGAUAUCGGGAACCAGUCUGAGGUUCCCAUGCAUACAGAGACCUGGGGACCACUGAUGAUCCUAUGCAGACGGACACAACUUAGGGAGUCUUCAUAUCCUUCCUCUAUUUUAGUUUUAGUGCUUAUUUGUUUUAGUUGGCAUUGGGGACAAUGCCAGAUUUUAUUUGAGGGGGUGCGAACUUUAUCUUUGGAUGACUGUACAUACAUACUGAUUUAGUUUAUGCUUUUCUUUAUAUUCAUUUGGUUUAUAUAUGUCUUACAUGAAGUUACUUUUAUCGCACCUUUUAUCUUUCACUUGGAAUGUAUAUAAAGUUACUUCUAUGUUCAUAUUCAUUUCUCGUUGUAUAUUCAAAUCCCUUAUUGUAAAUAUUUUUUCGAUUUUUGCAUAAAAAUUUCGUUUUUAGCUUCUUAUUUAUGUUCCUAGCUUUUUGUUUCGUUUUUGACGUUUUGAAUAACCCUUUGUUUUCUUGAUGCUACGGUUUUUUCCAAAGGUGGAGUUUUAUGUGAACCGGGUGGCUCUUCCCAAUGAUGGAUGGCGUGACAAUAUUCUUAAGGGUUUUUUUUGUAGAUUGUAGUUAAGAGUACCUCAAGCAAAGCUUCACUUGGGUCUAGAACAUUUGCCUAUGAUGCCAUGGUCAAAGACAAAUUGUUGUGUGUAGGAUGGUGAAAGUUGUGGCCUCGAGACGCUUGUGUUGGCCGAUAAUCAUCAAGUGUUUUUUGGGACCAUUGCGUGCUCAAAUCGUAUUCUAAGGUUGUUGUGGGCCCCCAACUCUAUGUCUUUAACAAUCCUUCAGAUUGUGUUGUGAGAAAUCAAAUAUCGAGUCCAAGUCGCAAGCCAAUGGUCUAGAACAUGCCUUGAAUGUUUGUUGAGGCGAAAUCAUAAGUGAAAUUUGACUUAUGAAGUGAUUAUAGGCUCUCCUUGAUCCAAAUGAUAGUUUGAACUAUAUCAUAGCCUACCAAUGAUACGAUCCCUAGUUAACCCUUUUGAGCCUUUAACCUUUUUUUUCAAGAAUCAUGUUACAAGCCUAUGCUCGUUCUAAAAGAUACCCUCUUUUUGCACCCGAUCUUUUCUUGAGCACAUGGCAAAAGUAUAAGUUUUGGAGGGAGAGACGAAGAUGACAACAAAGUGGUAUAAGGCACAAAAAUGAAGAAAAGGAAAGACAACGAAAAAGAAAGAAAAGAAAAAAGACAAAAAGAAUGCUCAAUGUGAGAAAGAAUAAAAAGGGAUUCGAGAAAAGUAAAAGAAAGAAAGGUGUGGAAAGUAAUAAAAGGAGAAAAGAAUUGAAAUAUAUAAGAAAGAGUGACAAUGUUUCUCUCUAACCCCUUAGAAAGAGGUGUAAUGACUCAAAGAGUCAAGAGAAUUGUGCAAAAUGAAUCAAAAGAAGUGCUUAAGGGAAGAUAGAACCCACAUAGACCAAAAUAUUUCCUACCCUGAACAAAAGCCUUCACAAUGACUCCACAAAAGCCCUAUAUGAUAUUGAGUUGAAUUAAGAUUGCAUCAGUGGAUACUUACAUGAGGGGCAAGCAUAUGGCACUUAGAGCCGGACUUCUGACCUUUUAUUGAGAGAGAUGAGUGAAUUUUCAUUGACCUCGAUUUGUGUGUUAAUACUCUAAAAGGUGAGGUAUGCUUAAGGAGAUUUGAGGAUAAGAGAGUUUGGGUUUUACAACGACCGCAAGUAAUCGUGAAAGUUCUUUGAUGUAAUGAGUCAACUCUUGAUUCUCUUGUGUCAUACUUGGUCCAUGGUUUUCCAAAGGUUAAAUGUUGUUAAUGAUUCAUUGAGGGCAAUUGGUAGUCCCAAUUGAUGCUUGUUGAGGUUACUUUAGGAUAGCUGAAAAUACUUGAAUUUUCCCUUAAGGGGUGGGUCUUAAUUUGUUUGCUUGAGGACAAGCAAAAGAAUAAGUUUGGGGGAGUUGAUAACUAGGGAUUUUGACGUGUUUCAUGCUCCUUCUUUCUUAUGCUUUGAUUAUAAAUUCUUAAAAAAUUAUUCCAAAAGGCUCAUAAGUUGUGCUUGAUUGCAGGUUUGAUCGACAAAGUAACGAAAUGUCAAAGAUCAGCUCGAAACGAGUGAAGCCUCUUCAAGUACCUAAGACAAGGAAAAACUAAGGAGAACAGGCCUAGUGCGGCCGCACUACUCUUUGUGCGGUUUGCAGUAGAGAGAUUCAGAGAGUCAGAAUCUAAGGCUUGAAGCAACAUGGACGCAUACCAUUCUACGCAGUCUGCAGUGAAGGCUUCGCGGUUGCACUUACCAUAAUGUGCAGUCCGUGAAAGAGAAGUUCAGAGAGAGGACAUAUGCCCGGGUUCAAGUCAUCGCGGUUUGUGGUCAUUAUUGUGUGGACCACAUUGGAGACCUCCACAACCGCGGUCCAUUCUGCACGAUCAGUGGAGCUUGAGUUUAGAAAGCCAAGAUUGCAAGUCCAAGAGCCUAGUGCGGCCUUACUCCAUUUUGUGCGGCCCGCACUGACCCCGCAGGGGGAUUCAUGUCCAGUUUUUCCAGCAUCGUGUAAAUAGAACAUUUUGCCAUUUUUAGGGUAUCAGAUAUCAUAGAACUAUAGUUUCGGUCGUAAGAUGUUAUUUUGUAGCCAUUUUGGGCAUCUUAGCUUUACUUUAACAUAGAUUCUCAGUAUUUUCUUUAGUUUUUAAUUAAUAUGUCUUUUACUUCAUCUAUUUCUCCAUUUUAUUAUUCAAACAUGAGUACCUAAACCCAUUAGCUAGGGUUGUAGCUCAACCCUAGUGUGGGUAAUUGAUGAGUGUUGCAAUUUAAGGCUAGAUUGACUAUGGGUGUUUUUUAUUUGCGUCAAUUUUGUGGUAUAAUUUAUAAAUUGGUGGUUGCAAACACUGGUUUGUGGUAAGCUGACUUAACUCUUCUUGAGAAAGAGAGCAUAAGUCUCCAUAACUGACCCGACAAGGAAUUGGGAUGGGUUAAAAAGAAUUGAUAGUCCCAAUUAAAGGGUUAAACUUCGAGAGAGUAAUUACCUGACUUAAACCCUAGUUGCUUGAGCAAAUUUUCCUACCUAUUUGGUAUUGAGAAAGUCAAUUGGGUAAAAUCACUCUCUCUCUACUGAGAGGUAUUAGAGUGGAUAAAAUCGUGCAACAAUUAUAGCAUAUUUUCCAAAUCAUGUCAAGUUUGCCUUAGAAGCAAUUACCGUCAAUUAGCCACCUAAGCGAAAGUCACUACUCUAGUGCCUUUUAAACCAUUAGAUACAAUUUUUUUAUAAUUUUCAUCUAGCAUAAUUAGUUAUAAUUAGUACUUGAUAAUCUUAGAUUGUUAAAGAAAACCCAAAAAUGAUGAGAAGUUAAUUAAGAACCUUCACAAGUGCGGAUCUUCCCUUGCCUUGUGCUCCAGCCCACUUCUGCAACCCCUAGGCCGCUUAUGUGGCUCCGCACCUGCGGCCAAAACCUCGUAGGUACGGUUACACCAAAUGACAGCUUCCUCAAUGCUUCUUCAAAUUCUAAUUUCGAUCCGCUAACCACCUAAAAUCCAUCUAAGGCCCUUGGACCUCAUCCAAUCACACCAACCUAUUCCAAAACAUAACGUGAACCUGCUUCAGGCCUCAAAUUACAUCAAACAACGCCAAAACCACGAAUCCCACUCCAAUUCAAGUUUGAUUAACUUUAGAACUUCAAACUUCUUCAUUUGAUGCCGAAACCUAUCAACUCACGUCUUAUUGACCUCGAAUUUUGGGCGCAAGUCAUAUUCGAUAUUACAUACCUACUCCAACUUUCGAAAUCGAAAUACGGUCAUGAUAUAAAAAAUCCACCUCCGAUAAAACUUCUCAAAACCUUAAAAUUCCUAACUUUAGACAAAUGACUCACAGACCUCCGAAUCCACUUCUAGAUGUGCUCCCAAUUCUAGAAUCACCAUACGAAGCUAUUCCCAUACUCAGAAUCCCAAACAGACAUCGAUAAAACUUAAAUGCACUGUAAUCAAAAUUUAUAAAAUUCUUUCCAAAAUGCUAACUUCCACAAUAGGCACCGAAACUCCUCCUUCAUCCAAAAUCCAAUUCGGACUGACGCCCAAGUACGAAACCAUCAUAUGAACUUGUUGGAGCCUUCAAAUCUUGAUUCCGAGGUCAUUUACUCAAAGUCAACCCUUAGUCAGAUUCUUCCAACCCUGUGCUUUCGAAAUGAGAAUUCUCUUUUGCAAAUCAACUUUGAAUUCCCUGAAUCUCAAUUCAGACUAAGUGCACAAGUCAUAAUACUUGAAAUGAAGCUGUCAUGACCUCAAACUGCUGAAUAACGUGCUAAAGUUCAAAACGAUUUGUCGAAUUGUUACAUUUUGUAUGACACCUAAUUUUUUUUAUCCUAACACCAAUAACACACAAAAUAGAAAAAACGUUACACACACGCAUGUAUACAAUAAAUCAUAUUAAUUUACAAUAAAAUAUGUCAUAAAUUGAUGUGAUAAUAUACGUUAUUAAACAAGUUAAGUUACAAGUGAUAAAUGUGCACCUAAGAAAAUACACCUCACAUAUUAAUUUAAUACUUAUAGACAUCUCACUAUUCCGCAUUUUGAACUUAGUUAACGUUGGCUUGUCAAGUAGAAUCGUUGUCGCUUACUAAAAAGUUUUGCUUAUACCAUUAACUUGUCUUCCAACAUUUAAGCAAAUCAAGAUGCAGAUUAACAUUUCUAUUUGGACCACUAAUGAUCCUUAUUUGGAAAUCCAAUUUUAUAAUAAUAUCGUUAGUACUUUAAAAUGUUGGGAAUGGAAUGAAAUGGGAAAAUAUAAUUUAUAAAACAGAUACCAAAAAUUAAUUGAAUAGAGAUGCGUUCCUUUCCGACUUCCCUUGGUGCCCUAAAAAAGCACAUGAAGCCCAAUAUGCAUUGAUGCAACUUGCAGUCCAUUUUUGAGCGAAGGGUAACAGUAGUCAUUUUUAAGUCCGUUAUUUACAAUAUAUUUAUAAUUUUAGUUAUGUAAAGAUUAUCAAUUCGUCCAAACUUUAGAAAGAAUUUUUGAGCUGGUAAUUUAAAAUUCAGAACAUAAAUUAAAAUUUUCUAAUACAAUUUUUUAACUUUAGGACACGAUGUCCUGAUGUUUGAAUAUUGAGGUUUAAACUCUAGGACUUAAGGACGAAGUAUGCUGAAUUUACAUAUUCAGAACUUAGUGUGAAUUUUUUGAGCUAUUAAUUUGAAAUUCAAGACUAAGUGUCCUGAAUUUCUGAAAUACUAAUUUAAAAUUCAGCAUAUAAGAUUCAAAUUUUUUGACACAAUUUUCGAACUUUAGGAUCCUAUGUCCUGAAAUUUGAAUUUCGAGGUUUAAACUCUAUGAAACUGUGUCCUAAAGUUCAAGAGAAAUGAGUUAAUUUUUAAGUAUAUUAUAAACUAUGAAUAUAUUAAACAAUAUGGUUAAAAGUGACUACCUAGUAUCAUUUUCACUAAAAAGAAAUUUAGAGAUUUUUACCUAUGAACUAUACUACAUUAUAACUUAUUUAUUCCUACUAGAGAGGUUUUAACUUAACUAGAUUUUGGUUUACAAUAUACUAAUUAUAUGCAAAUUAGUAUUAAAUGAGCAUCCCUUAAUACCAAGCAAUCGUAUUUAACAUGAAACUAGUAUCUAUAAACGUGUGUUGCGCAUUAAUAAUGACACAUGGUGGUUUAAAAUUUUAUUAUAUGAAGGAAUAAUAACAUUUAAUUAAUGAGAGAAAUUUUAUAUAUGAUAUAUCUAAAUACAUAAAAAAUAUUGUUACAUUAACAUAAUACGUGAAUUCGAAAUGAAAGGAUAUUAUCAGAACUUGCAUAAUUAAUCAAUUUUAGUCAUGUUAAGUAGAUAAUUGUGUAUUGUGAUAUAAAGGAAUCUAAUGUGAUGAUAUUUUAUCGAACACUUCUUUAAAUUGACUUCUCACUUUAAAGUGCAACAUAUAGUUAUUCUUGUAAGAAAACAUAUAGUGAUAAAUAUAGUUCAAUAUUAAUAUGUUUGUCCUUGUGCUUUGUUUGUUAAAACUGCAAGUACAAACAUACUGAAAAUUAUUUUCACAAAAAAAAUUUUAAGAGAAUAUUAUUUAGUUUCGAAAGAUGAAAAGUGAAUUCGGGGAUAAAAACAUACUUAGAAGCACAUUGAGAAGUAUCAUAAGUUCUGCAUGUAUGACGUUAUUGUCAAAACUUCUAUCUACCAUAUGUGUGCAAUUAUAUAAACUAUUUGGGGAUCUACAUUUAGAGGGCAUGACAAACAUAUUUUUCUUCUAAAUCAACCUAUAUACUAUGAAAGAUAAAUUUCUAACUUAGUCUGUUAUAUAUACGGAGACACUAACAUACACAAGAAAUAAUGAACGUGACAACAAAUAUAUAAUGAUCUGAUUAGUCGUUUUGAGAUCUAGCACGUCGUUCAGCAGUCGGAGGGCAUGAGCAGCUUCAUUUUAGGUAUUAUGACUUGUACGCGUGGUCGAAAUUGAAUUUCAGAAAGUUCAGAGUUGAUUUGGAAAGAGAAUUCUCAUUUCGGAAGCUUUAAGUUGAAAUAAUUAACUAGGAUUAGAUUUUUGAGUAAAUGAACUCGGAAUCAGGAUCUGAAGAUUCCAGCAGGUUUGUAUAAUGAUUUUGGACUUAGGCAUGCUACACCUCCUUUUAUACCUGCACCUCCGGAAGGGUAUAAGGGAGUUUUUCUAACUUAAAGUGACAAUCGAAACGGGAUUCAUUUUAUUAAAAAUUUAGACUCACCACUUGGGAUAAUUAAUGGUGUCCCAAGUCACUGGUUUCAAAUUCCGAAUCGAGGAAAGAUUGACUCUAUAUUACAGUCCGCAAACCAGAAAUCCGGGUAAGGAAUUCUGUUAACUAGAAUUGCCUCCAAGGAUAUAUAAUUGCCUUAAAAUGUCCAAUAUAUAUACAUUGUUGGACCUUUUGAAUAACAACCAAGAAGAUCUUAUGAAAAUUGAACAUUUUCGUAGCGAAGAUGUAAAACGGAUAUUGGGCAUUUUAGAAAAAUAUUUCGUAAUUGAUUUAGCAAAAAAUAAGUUUUAGAACUAUUGGACUUACUUAGUGAAAAUAGAUUAAAAAUCUAUAGCACAAUUAAUAUAUUAAUAUAUGCAAAAUAAAUUCAGAAUUAAAUUGAAUAGAUGUAUCUAGGGAGAAUUUGCUUUAGAGAAACUAUUCCCUAUAUACACAUGUCGUGUUACUUCACAAUUUAAUCAAUUUAAAAAUUUUUAAAAGACCUAAAGAUAGGGAUUUAUCAAUAGGUAAUGUUGCACCAAUGCCCAACCAAAGGGCGAUUGCGGUACCAAUCAAAAAGACAGUCGUCGCUACUGGACGACGAAAUGAAUCUUGGAAUUUAUUAACAUUCUGUAAAAAAAGUAUUGUUAAUAAUCUCGCAGGUACUGAAACCAUUAAAAGAACCCCCAAUAAUUUAUUGGGCACUCUACAAAUUAUUUUAAAUACAGGAAAGAAAUAUCAUUCAGGUAAUAUUUCCAAAGGGGUUGUAGAUGGAUCUGCCGGUUCACCAAUCAUUGAUGGUUCUGAAACGGCUAAGCCUACAUUACAUGCAAUAGUACCUAGAAUUACUACUGGAAAAAUAUAUAAAAGAUCAUUGGGCCAUGCGGGCUCUCCAUAAUAAUUAUGNNNNNNNNNNNNNNNNNNNNNNNNNNNNNNNNNNNNNNNNNNNNNNNNNNNNNNNNNNNNNNNNNNNNNNNNNNNNNNNNNNNNNNNNNNNNNNNNNNNNNNNNNNNNNNNNNNNNNNNNNNNNNNNNNNNNNNNNNNNNNNNNNNNNNNNNNNNNNNNNNNNNNNNNNNNNNNNNNNNNNNNNNNNNNNNNNNNNNNNNNNNNNNNNNNNNNNNNNNNNNNNNNNUUAUAUAUGUAUAUAUAUAUAUAUAUGUAUAUAUAUAUGUAUAUAUAUAUGUAUAUAUAUAUAUAUAUGUUACCUGUAUUUACACAUACACAUAUAUGAUAUAGGAAUGGCUCAAUGUAAGAAAAAUUUUACUGAAUUCUUUUUUACGGUUGCAACUAUCCAUUACAAAACAAAGAAUUCCGUUCCUACAAGUAAAUACUCAAGACCCAAGUAGGCUUACAAAUCAGAUCAUGAUAUGAUCAAGUGCUUUCUGGGUCGUCUCAGACCUUCUAAUUGAUAUUUAUCUCCAAAAUAGUUGGAGAUACACAUACAAGGUUUGCUUGUUACUAAUAUAGUCUAGCCUCUCUUCUUCUUUAGAUCCCUUGUUUCACUCUGAUAGUAGUAUUGAUCGUGUCAAUGCAGAGGAAAUGAAUACAUUUACAUACUAUUUAAUCUUAUAAGUGACUAUUGAUCGUGUCAAUGGAGAGGAAAUGAAUACAUUUACAUACUAUUUAAUCUUAUAAUUGAACUAGAUAAAACAGAAUCUUGAUUUUGUUUUAUCUAGUUCACUUACACUGGAUCUUACGGAGCCUACUCAUGUACAACAUGAUUCGGACCUGAUCAUAGAAAAGAUUCUCUUUAAGCGAACCAGCCUAUCCUCUGUAUAGGGCUUACACGGAGAUUGGAACAUAGACACAUUUGGUUGUGAAUUCCCAUGCGGCAGGCAUAUAUCUACACAGACCAAUCAAUAGUUCAAGUCACACACUCCCAUAAUUCAUUUUCUCUUCACAAAAUUCCCUUCAAUCCCCCUGUUUAGUUGACAUGAAUAAUUAAAGGGAAAUAUCCAAAUCCAUGUCUUAUUAUUUUCAAUAAUCCAUACUUGUAGCAAUAAAAUACUAUAUAUUCCUCCACCAAGUGAUAAAUGAUUGAUUACAAAUAUUUAGGAUUUAUUUUUCUUUUCUCUGUAAAGGCCCAGAAAUACCUUGUUUACGUAUCAUUGGAAAGUGCAUUAACAUAAAUACGGCAGUAAGAAGCGGCAAUACAAAAGUGNNNNNNNNNNNNNNNNNNNNNNNNNNNNNNNNNNNNNNNNNNNUGUAAGAAGCGGCAAUACAAAAGUGUGUAAACUAUAAAAACGGGUCAAAGUAGAUUGUCCCACACUAGCGCUUCCAUGCAAUUAUUCGACCAAGGGUAAUCCUAUUACAGGAAUAGCGUCAGGGACACCUGAUUCUAUUUUCACUGCCCAAUAACCAACUUGGUCCUAAUGUAAGAAAUACCCAGUUACGCCAAAAUAUGCGGUUAAUACAUCCAGAACCACACCUGUAACCCAAGUCAAUUCGCGAGGUUUUUUAAAUCCACCGGUGAGAUUCACACGAAAUACGUGCAGGAUCAUCAUUAGGACCAUCAUACUUGCCGACCAUCGAUGAACUGAUCGGAUUAACCAACCAAAGUUGGCUUCAGUCAUAAUGUAUUGAAUAGAAGCAAAAGCCUCAGUAACGGUCGGACGAUAGUAAAAAGUAAUAGCAAACCCAGUAGCUACUUGUUCUAAAAAAUAAGUAAGCGCAAUUCCCCCAAAACAAUAAAAUAUAUUGAUGUGGGGAGGAACGUAUUUACUAGUUAUAUCAUCCGCAAUUGCUUGAAUCUCGAGACGUUCUUCAAACCAAUCAUAUACUUUAUUGAGAUAGGCAAAACUCCCCCUCUCAGAACCGUAUAUGAGACUUUCAUCUCGUACAACUCAAGCAAAAACACCCAAAUACUAGUUGCAACGGAUAUGGAAUAGAAAAUUUUAAAUUUAUAGGCAUAACUCCCCCUAUGAGAACCGUAUAUGAGAAUUUCAUCUCGUACAACUUAAGCAAUAACACCCCACUACAGUUGCAACUGAUAUGGAAUAGAAAGUUUGAAAUUUAUUAAGUUCUCAUCCCAUCUUCUAUGGAAAAUCCGAAAGGUCUUCUUUGUGGCGAUAAUACCAACAUAUCAAGUUGGCGCAGUCGUCUUUAUCUUUAUUUUGAUACUUAUGGGCCUCUUGAAUUCUCUUUUUCCCUAUUUCUUCCUAGAAUUUGUUUUUGUUCAAGUUGGCGCAGUCGUCUUUAUCUUUAUUUUGAUACUUAUGGGCCUCUUGAAUUCUCUUAUUCCUAUUUCUUCCUAGAAUUUAUUUUUCUGGAAUAUGGCUUUUAUUAUUUGUUUUCUUUAUUAUUGAUAGGAAUUCUCUUGUUAUGACCUUAUGGAUCGAUUAAAACCUCAGAUUCAUACUAGAACCACGAUGAUUCAAUAAAAAAAACCUAACCUAAACCAAAUCAAGGAUUCCAUGAGUAAGAAUCCUCGGAUCAUCACUUAUUCCCUGAAUAAAUAGAAUGACUAAAAAUUCAAAGAAAGGUUUUGAUUUUGGUCAAAAUAUAAAUAGGGGUUGAAAGAAAAGAAUCUUUCAAUUUAGAAAUUAGAAUUCUUUGAAAAUGUUUUGGAGCCCGAACACAAGGUCUGAAUAUUAAGUAUGAAUCAAAGUUCAAAUAUUUCUUAAUCUAUUUCGUGUUCCAAAUAUUAGAAUAAAUAUUUGACGAAGUAGAACCAUCUCUAUCAAGAUGACAGACACAUUCUCUGUACUAUCAAUAGGAUCAAUUAUAAUAAGUCACACAGUCAUACUCCGGAAAUACAGAAACAAAGAAAUUCCACGAUCGAACUACCAGAUGAAAAUAGAAUGGACUAAAAAUCAGAGCUCUAAAUGAUUCAAUUUGGACUCAAAAGCAAAAACUUUGCGGUUCUUAUAGAUCUAAUUCAUUGAAAUUCCAUCCAAUAAAAUGAAAGAAUUAUAAAUCUCCAAAAUAAUAGAUAGAAAUACCGCAAAUAAGGCCAUUGCGACAUCCAUCAAAGGAGUAGUUCCCCACCCAGGAGCUACUUUACCAUAUUCCGAAUUCAAUC